RNAcentral lists this ribosomal RNA (1346 nucleotides) under uncultured bacterium. RNAcentral describes it as "partial 16S ribosomal RNA". It matches the Rfam family "Bacterial small subunit ribosomal RNA", at positions 28 to 1381 of the family's 1533-position model. The record is from RNAcentral.
GACGAACGCUGGCGGUGUGCUUAACACAUGCAAGUCGAACGGGAAGGCCCUGCUUUUGUGGGGUGCUCGAGUGGCGAACGGGUGAGUAACACGUGAGUAACCUGCCCUUGACUUUGGGAUAACUUCAGGAAACUGGGGCUAAUACCGGAUAGGAGCUCCUGCUGCAUGGUGGGGGUUGGAAAGUUUCGGCGGUUGGGGAUGGACUCGCGGCUUAUCAGCUUGUUGGUGGGGUAGUGGCUUACCAAGGCUUUGACGGGUAGCCGGCCUGAGAGGGUGACCGGCCACAUUGGGACUGAGAUACGGCCCAGACUCCUACGGGAGGCAGCAGUGGGGAAUAUUGCACAAUGGGCGGAAGCCUGAUGCAGCAACGCCGCGUGCGGGAUGACGGCCUUCGGGUUGUAAACCGCUUUCGCCUGUGACGAAGCGUGAGUGACGGUAAUGGGUAAAGAAGCACCGGCUAACUACGUGCCAGCAGCCGCGGUGAUACGCAAGGUGCGAGCGUUGUCCGGAUUUAUUGGGCGUAAAAGGCUCGUACGUGGUUGAUUCCCUCCGAAGUGUAAUCUUGGGGCUUAACCCUGAGCGUGCUUUCGAUACGGGUUGACUUGAGGAAGGUAGGGGAGAAUGGAAUUCCUGGUGGAGCGGUGGAAUGCGCAGAUAUCAGGAGGAACACCAGUGGCGAAGGCGGUUCUCUGGGCCUUUCCUGACGCUGAGGAGCGAAAGCGUGGGGAGCGAACAGGCUUAGAUACCCUGGUAGUCCACGCUGUAAACGGUGGGUACUAGGUGUGGGGUCCAUUCCACGGGUUCCGUGCCGUAGCUAACGCUUUAAGUACCCCGCCUGGGGAGUACGGCCGCAAGGCUAAAACUCAAAGGAAUUGACGGGGCCCCGCACAAGCGGCGGAGCAUGCGGAUUAAUUCGAUGCAACGCGUAGAACCUUACCUGGGUUUGACAUGGAUCGGGAGUGCUCAGAGAUGGGUGUGCCUCUUUUGGGGUCGGUUCACAGGUGGUGCAUGGCUGUCGUCAGCUCGUGUCGUGAGAUGUUGGGUUAAGUCCCGCAACGAGCGCAACCCUUGUUCACUGUUGCCAGCACGUUAUGGUGGGGACUCAGUGGAGACCGCCGGGGUCAACUCGGAGGAAGGUGGGGAUGACGUCAAGUCAUCAUGCCCCUUAUGUCCAGGGCUUCACGCAUGCUACAAUGGCUGGUACAGAGAGUGGCGAGCCUGUGAGGGUGAGCGAAUCUCGGAAAGCCGGUCUCAGUUCGGAUUGGGGUCUGCAACUCGACCUCAUGAAGUCGGAGUCGCUAGUAAUCGCAGAUCAGCAACGCUGCGGUGAAUACGUUCCCGGGGCU